GAUGAAGAACGCAGCGAAAUGCGAUAAGUAGUGUGAAUUGCAGAAUUCAGUGAAUCAUCGAAUCUUUGAACGCACAUUGCGCCCGUUAGCAUUCUAGCGGGCAUGCCUGUCCGAGCGUCAUUUCAACCCUCAGGGUCCCCGUUCCGGCGGGGAACCUGGUGUUGGGGAUCGGCCCGCCCCGUGCGGCGCCGUCCCCCAAAUUCAGUGGCGGUCUCGCUGCAGCCUCCCCUGCGUAGUAGUUACAACCUCGCAUCGGAGCUCAGCGCGGCCACGCCGUAAAACCCCCGACUUUCUGAACGUUGACCUCGGAUCAGGUAGGAAUACCCGCUGAACUUAAGCAUAUCAAAAGCGGAGGA
Molecule: unclassified non-coding RNA, 356 nt
Filed under: soil metagenome
Description: partial contains 5.8S ribosomal RNA, internal transcribed spacer 2, and large subunit ribosomal RNA
Rfam family: 5.8S ribosomal RNA (bases 1-120)
Source: RNAcentral